Molecule: long non-coding RNA, 236 nt
Filed under: Ananas comosus (pineapple)
Lineage: Eukaryota; Viridiplantae; Streptophyta; Magnoliopsida; Poales; Bromeliaceae
Description: long non-coding RNA (ACOM_LNC034176)
Source: RNAcentral
UUCUAGAUGCCAAUUAGAUCCCUUUUAACUUUUACUAUUUAUUAAUUUUUUUUUUUUCUAAGAAAUAGGUAGCACGCUAUCCGCUCCGUUUAUUUCAUUUAAAAAUAAACUUAGCUGAAAAUAUGAAUCAACUAAAAGAUUCGAACUUAGAUCUCGGAUAUCAACCACCAAGCUUUUUGCCACGGUCGGUAAUAUUAUUAUUAUUUUGGUUAAUAUUUUGUUAUUUAUUAUAUUUC